This 339-nucleotide ribosomal RNA is filed under the name uncultured Pseudomonadota bacterium. Its description in RNAcentral is "bacterial SSU rRNA". It matches the Rfam family "Bacterial small subunit ribosomal RNA", at positions 29 to 351 of the family's 1533-position model. The record is from RNAcentral. Lineage: Bacteria; Pseudomonadati; Pseudomonadota.
AACAAACGCUGGCGGCGUGCCUAACACAUGCAAGUCGUACGAGAAAGGGUCCUUCGGGACCUGAGUAAAGUGGCGCACGGGUGAGUAACGCGUGGAUAAUCUGCCCUUCAGUUGGGAAUAACUCAUCGAAAGGUGGGCUAAUACCGAAUGAUACUGCGAGACUUUGGUUGAGCAGUCAAAGAGAGCCUCUGCUUGCAAGCUUUUACUGAAGGUUGAGUCCGCGUACCAUUAGCUAGUUGGUAGGGUAAUGGCCUACCAAGGCGACGAUGGUUAGCUGGUCUGAGAGGAUGAUCAGCCACACUGGAACUGAGAUACGGUCCAGACUCCUACGGGUGGCUG